Molecule: transfer RNA, 73 nt
Filed under: Ameiurus melas (black bullhead)
Lineage: Eukaryota; Metazoa; Chordata; Actinopteri; Siluriformes; Ictaluridae
Rfam family: tRNA
About the family: Transfer RNA (tRNA) molecules are approximately 80 nucleotides in length. Their secondary structure includes four short double-helical elements and three loops (D, anti-codon, and T loops).
Source: Rfam by way of RNAcentral
GGGCCAGUUGCGCAAUGGAUAACGUGUCUGACUACGGAUCAAAAGAUUCCAUGUUCAACUCCUGGUUGGCUCA